CCGCGUCCCCCGCGCCUCCUCCCAGCGCAGGUGGGUCCGCCCGCGGGGGGCGGGGGUGCCCGGGAGCCGUGGGACGGGCGGGUAGCGGCAACCUUUGGGGAGCAGAGUGGUCCCCAACGCCCAGGUGCCCCGGCUUGCGCUCUGGCCCGGGCGAAUCGGGCUAUAGGAAGGGCCACACGGAUGGAAGUCCUAGUCCGGGUGCUUACCUCUUGUGGAACGUGCAAAGCCUGUCCCAGGACCUCUUUACACUCUGGGGGUCUCUGCCCAGGCACGCUUGCUGCUUCCGGACACAGCUGUGGGCGGAGCUAGUAGGGGCGGGGCUACGUGAUUGACACUUCUCUCCUCAGACUUCAAGGGCUACCACUGGACCCUUCCCCUGUCUUGAACCCUGAGCCGGCACCAUGGUCAGCUCCUGCAAGGCAACCUGCACUCUUCCAACCCGUUCAUCCUUGUAGCACGGACGCCUGAAGGUGAAGACGUCAGAAGAGCAGGCGGAGGCCAAAAGGCUAGAGCGAGAGCAGAAGCUGAAGCUAUACCAGUCAGCCACCCAGGCCGUAUUCCAGAAGCGCCAGGCUGGUGAGCUGGAUGAGUCCGUGCUGGAACUGACAAGCCAGAUUCUGGGAGCCAACCCUGAUUUUGCCACCCUCUGGAACUGCCGACGAGAGGUGCUCCAGCAGCUGGAGACUCAGAAGUCUCCUGAAGAGUUGGCUGCUCUGGUGAAGGCAGAACUGGGCUUCCUGGAGAGCUGCCUGCGGGUGAACCCCAAGUCUUAUGGUACCUGGCACCACCGAUGCUGGCUGCUAGGCCGCCUGCCUGAGCCCAACUGGACCCGAGAGCUGGAGCUCUGUGCCCGUUUCCUGGAGGUGGAUGAGCGGAA
Molecule: small RNA, 877 nt
Filed under: Pan troglodytes (chimpanzee)
Lineage: Eukaryota; Metazoa; Chordata; Mammalia; Primates; Hominidae
Description: processed transcript
Source: RNAcentral